UCGCACAGGAGCAAGUUACCGC
Molecule: microRNA, 22 nt
Filed under: Gallus gallus (chicken)
Lineage: Eukaryota; Metazoa; Chordata; Aves; Galliformes; Phasianidae
Description: gga-miR-1451-5p
Source: miRBase by way of RNAcentral